GGGGAUUUAGCUUAGUGGCGUAAGCGCCUGCCUUGCAAGCACGAGGUCGUGAGUUCGAUCCCCCAUACACGCCC
Molecule: non-coding RNA, 74 nt
Organism: Cavia porcellus (domestic guinea pig)
Lineage: Eukaryota; Metazoa; Chordata; Mammalia; Rodentia; Caviidae
Source: Rfam